GGGCGGCUAGCUCAGCUGGUUAGAGCAUCUCGUUUACACCGAGAUGUUUUUGAAAUCGGAAACCCAACA
This 69-nucleotide transfer RNA is filed under the name Alphaproteobacteria bacterium. RNAcentral describes it as "tRNA-Val". Lineage: Bacteria; Pseudomonadati; Pseudomonadota; Alphaproteobacteria. The record is from RNAcentral.